UGGGGAAUAUUGGACAAUGGGGGCAACCCUGAUCCAGCGAUGCCGCGUGGGUGAAGAAGGCCUUCGGGUUGUAAAGCCCUUUAGGUUGGGACGAAGGAUGCGAGAGGAAAUGCCCAUAUUUUGACGGUACCGACAGAAUAAGCACCGGCAAACUCUGUGCCAGCAGCCGCGGUAAUACAGAGGGUGCGAGCGUUAAUCGGAAUUACUGGGCGUAAAGGGCGCGUAGGCGGUCAAGAGAGUGUGAUGUGAAAGCCCUGGGCUUAACCUAGGAAGAGCAUCACAAACGCCUUGACUGGAGUAGAUGAGAGGGUGGCGGAAUUUCCGGUGUAGCGGUGAAAUGCGUAGAGAUCGGAAGGAACGUCGAUGGCGAAGGCAGCCACCUGGCAUCAUACUGACGCUGAGGCGCGAAAGCGUGGGUAGCGAACAGGAUUAGAUACCCCCGUAGUCC
RNAcentral lists this ribosomal RNA (448 nucleotides) under uncultured bacterium. Its description in RNAcentral is "bacterial SSU rRNA". It matches the Rfam family "Bacterial small subunit ribosomal RNA", at positions 355 to 796 of the family's 1533-position model. The record is from RNAcentral.